This 2924-nucleotide ribosomal RNA is filed under the name Escherichia coli. RNAcentral's name for it is "23S ribosomal RNA". It matches the Rfam family "Bacterial large subunit ribosomal RNA". Lineage: Bacteria; Pseudomonadati; Pseudomonadota; Gammaproteobacteria; Enterobacterales; Enterobacteriaceae. The record is from RNAcentral.
GGGUUGUGAGGUUAAGCGACUAAGCGUACACGGUGGAUGCCCUGGCAGUCAGAGGCGAUGAAGGACGUGCUAAUCUGCGAUAAGCGUCGGUAAGGUGAUAUGAACCGUUAUAACCGGCGAUUUCCGAAUGGGGAAACCCAGUGUGAUUCGUCACACUAUCAUUAACUGAAUCCAUAGGUUAAUGAGGCGAACCGGGGGAACUGAAACAUCUAAGUACCCCGAGGAAAAGAAAUCAACCGAGAUUCCCCCAGUAGCGGCGAGCGAACGGGGAGCAGCCCAGAGCCUGAAUCAGUGUGUGUGUUAGUGGAAGCGUCUGGAAAGGCGCGCGAUACAGGGUGACAGCCCCGUACACAAAAAUACACAUACUGUGAGCUCGAUGAGUAGGGCGGGACACGUGGUAUCCUGUCUGAAUAUGGGGGGACCAUCCUCCAAGGCUAAAUACUCCUGACUGACCGAUAGUGAACCAGUACCGUGAGGGAAAGGCGAAAAGAACCCCGGCGAGGGGAGUGAAAAAGAACCUGAAACCGUGUACGUACAAGCAGUGGGAGCACGCUUAGGCGUGUGACUGCGUACCUUUUGUAUAAUGGGUCAGCGACUUAUAUUCUGUAGCAAGGUUAACCGAAUAGGGGAGCCGAAGGGAAACCGAGUCUUAACUGGGCGUUAAGUUGCAGGGUAUAGACCCGAAACCCGGUGAUCUAGCCAUGGGCAGGUUGAAGGUUGGGUAACACUAACUGGAGGACCGAACCGACUAAUGUUGAAAAAUUAGCGGAUGACUUGUGGCUGGGGGUGAAAGGCCAAUCAAACCGGGAGAUAGCUGGUUCUCCCCGAAAGCUAUUUAGGUAGCGCCUCGUGAAUUCAUCUCCGGGGGUAGAGCACUGUUUCGGCAAGGGGGUCAUCCCGACUUACCAACCCGAUGCAAACUGCGAAUACCGGAGAAUGUUAUCACGGGAGACACACGGCGGGUGCUAACGUCCGUCGUGAAGAGGGAAACAACCCAGACCGCCAGCUAAGGUCCCAAAGUCAUGGUUAAGUGGGAAACGAUGUGGGAAGGCCCAGACAGCCAGGAUGUUGGCUUAGAAGCAGCCAUCAUUUAAAGAAAGCGUAAUAGCUCACUGGUCGAGUCGGCCUGCGCGGAAGAUGUAACGGGGCUAAACCAUGCACCGAAGCUGCGGCAGCGACACUAUGUGUUGUUGGGUAGGGGAGCGUUCUGUAAGCCUGUGAAGGUGUACUGUGAGGUAUGCUGGAGGUAUCAGAAGUGCGAAUGCUGACAUAAGUAACGAUAAAGCGGGUGAAAAGCCCGCUCGCCGGAAGACCAAGGGUUCCUGUCCAACGUUAAUCGGGGCAGGGUGAGUCGACCCCUAAGGCGAGGCCGAAAGGCGUAGUCGAUGGGAAACAGGUUAAUAUUCCUGUACUUGGUGUUACUGCGAAGGGGGGACGGAGAAGGCUAUGUUGGCCGGGCGACGGUUGUCCCGGUUUAAGCGUGUAGGCUGGUUUUCCAGGCAAAUCCGGAAAAUCAAGGCUGAGGCGUGAUGACGAGGCACUACGGUGCUGAAGCAACAAAUGCCCUGCUUCCAGGAAAAGCCUCUAAGCAUCAGGUAACAUCAAAUCGUACCCCAAACCGACACAGGUGGUCAGGUAGAGAAUACCAAGGCGCUUGAGAGAACUCGGGUGAAGGAACUAGGCAAAAUGGUGCCGUAACUUCGGGAGAAGGCACGCUGAUAUGUAGGUGAAGUCCCUCGCGGAUGGAGCUGAAAUCAGUCGAAGAUACCAGCUGGCUGCAACUGUUUAUUAAAAACACAGCACUGUGCAAACACGAAAGUGGACGUAUACGGUGUGACGCCUGCCCGGUGCCGGAAGGUUAAUUGAUGGGGUCAGCGCAAGCGAAGCUCUUGAUCGAAGCCCCGGUAAACGGCGGCCGUAACUAUAACGGUCCUAAGGUAGCGAAAUUCCUUGUCGGGUAAGUUCCGACCUGCACGAAUGGCGUAAUGAUGGCCAGGCUGUCUCCACCCGAGACUCAGUGAAAUUGAACUCGCUGUGAAGAUGCAGUGUACCCGCGGCAAGACGGAAAGACCCCGUGAACCUUUACUAUAGCUUGACACUGAACAUUGAGCCUUGAUGUGUAGGAUAGGUGGGAGGCUUGGAAGUGUGGACGCCAGUCUGCAUGGAGCCGACCUUGAAAUACCACCCUUUAAUGUUUGAUGUUCUAACGUUGACCCGUAAUCCGGGUUGCGGACAGUGUCUGGUGGGUAGUUUGACUGGGGCGGUCUCCUCCUAAAGAGUAACGGAGGAGCACGAAGGUUGGCUAAUCCUGGUCGGACAUCAGGAGGUUAGUGCAAUGGCAUAAGCCAGCUUGACUGCGAGCGUGACGGCGCGAGCAGGUGCGAAAGCAGGUCAUAGUGAUCCGGUGGUUCUGAAUGGAAGGGCCAUCGCUCAACGGAUAAAAGGUACUCCGGGGAUAACAGGCUGAUACCGCCCAAGAGUUCAUAUCGACGGCGGUGUUUGGCACCUCGAUGUCGGCUCAUCACAUCCUGGGGCUGAAGUAGGUCCCAAGGGUAUGGCUGUUCGCCAUUUAAAGUGGUACGCGAGCUGGGUUUAGAACGUCGUGAGACAGUUCGGUCCCUAUCUGCCGUGGGCGCUGGAGAACUGAGGGGGGCUGCUCCUAGUACGAGAGGACCGGAGUGGACGCAUCACUGGUGUUCGGGUUGUCAUGCCAAUGGCACUGCCCGGUAGCUAAAUGCGGAAGAGAUAAGUGCUGAAAGCAUCUAAGCACGAAACUUGCCCCGAGAUGAGUUCUCCCUGACUCCUUGAGAGUCCUGAAGGAACGUUGAAGACGACGACGUUGAUAGGCCGGGUGUGUAAGCGCAGCGAUGCGUUGAGCUAACCGGUACUAAUGAACCGUGAGGCUUAACCUUACAACGCCGAAG